RNAcentral lists this ribosomal RNA (460 nucleotides) under uncultured bacterium. RNAcentral's name for it is "partial 16S ribosomal RNA". It matches the Rfam family "Bacterial small subunit ribosomal RNA", at positions 338 to 795 of the family's 1533-position model. The record is from RNAcentral.
CCUACGGGAGGCAGCAGUGAGGAAUAUUGGUCAAUGGGCGAGAGCCUGAACCAGCCAAGUCGCGUGAAGGAUGAAGGAUCUAUGGUUUGUAAACUUCUUUUAUAUGGGAAUAAAGUGAGGAACGUGUUCCUUUUUGUAUGUACCAUAUGAAUAAGCAUCGGCUAACUCCGUGCCAGCAGCCGCGGUAAUACGGAGGAUGCGAGCGUUAUCCGGAUUUAUUGGGUUUAAAGGGUGCGUAGGUGGGUAAUUAAGUCAGUGGUGAAAGUUUGUGGCUAAACCAUAAAAUUGCCGUUGAAACUGGUUGACUUGAGUAUAUUUGAGGUAGGCGGAAUGCGUGGUGUAGCGGUGAAAUGCAUAGAUAUCACGCAGAACUCCGAUGGCGAAGGCAGCUUACUAAACUAUAACUGAUACUGAAGCACGAAAGCGUGGGGAGCAAACAGGAUUAGAUACCCUAGUAGUC